This 1071-nucleotide long non-coding RNA is filed under the name Ananas comosus (pineapple). Its description in RNAcentral is "long non-coding RNA (ACOM_LNC001281)". Lineage: Eukaryota; Viridiplantae; Streptophyta; Magnoliopsida; Poales; Bromeliaceae. The record is from RNAcentral.
UCAGUUCAAGUUUGGGUUUAGUUCAAGUACAAAUCAGAUACAAACAAAAUUCAUACCCAAAUUCAAAUUCGUUGAAUUUUUAUUUUUUAGGGUAAACUUCAAAUACCACCCAUGUGGUUUCGUACUUUCUCACUUUAGUAACCUGCGUUUUAAAAUAUAUCAAUUUAGUAUCAUAUGGUUUCAUUUUUCUCUUUUCAUCGGUCCUUCCGUUAACUUUUCGUUAAACUAUAUACAAAAAUAUUUAGAUACCCCACCUAUAGUUUAUCAAAUAUUCACUUUAUACAUUUUAGUGUUAACUUUGUCAUUGAUUUAACUAAAAAAAUUAGUGGAGGCCAUAAUAAAAAGAGAAAAAUAAAAACACAUGGUACGAAAGUGAUAUUUUUUAAACCACGGGGUGUUAAAGUGAGAAAGUGCAAAAUCACAGGGGUAAUAUUUGAAGCUUUUCCUAUGUUUUAUUUAUGUAUCUAAAACUAUGUUUUAUUUACUAUUGAAUAAACGCUCUCUGUAAGGAAGCAGAUUUGGAUAAAAUUUCAGGUAUUCCUGCCCAUUAACAUCCUUGACUAGGAAUGUCAACGGGUCGGAUUCGGGACAGAUUUUCAAAAAUUCGAACGCAAACCCAACUCCAGAUUCGAAACCCGAACCCGAACCCUAAUCCUAACCCGACGGAUUUUAAAAAUCCAUAUCCAAAUCCGAAUUCGACCAAAAACCAAAAACCUGAACUCAAACCCGAAACAAUUAUUUCUCAUUUCAAUAUUUUAAAAUAUAUUAUAUUAAAUCUAAAAUUUUAAAAUACAAAUUCAAAUAUAAUAUUAAAUUUUUAUAUACAUAUUAGAUAUAAUAUAAAAAUAAAUUCGAGUUUGGGUCGGGAUCGGAUUCGAGUUCGGAUCGGGUACAGUCAAAAUCCAUAUCCGUAUCCAUAUUCGUCGAAAUUUUGUUUUUGAAAUAUAUUCAUAUCCGAAAUCAUAUUCAUUUAGCAUCUUAUAAAUUUACUCUGUUCGGGUUCGGGUUCGGGUUCGAAUUUGAUUCUGAUAAAAUUUCGGAUAUCCCUGCCCAUUGUAAUCCCUGACAAAU